RNAcentral lists this ribosomal RNA (119 nucleotides) under Pteropus alecto (black flying fox). Lineage: Eukaryota; Metazoa; Chordata; Mammalia; Chiroptera; Pteropodidae. The record is from RNAcentral.
GUCUACAGUCAUGCCACCCUGAACAAGUUCAACCUCAUCUGAUCUCAGAAGUUAAGCAGGGUCGUGCCUGGUUAGUGCUUGGAUGGGAGACCAUCUAGGAAGAUCGGGCGCUGUAGGCA